Non-coding RNA from Mycena galericulata, 92 nucleotides. NCBI's taxonomy places the organism in Eukaryota, Fungi, Basidiomycota, Agaricomycetes, Agaricales, Mycenaceae. The record is from the annotation of a GenBank genome assembly.
UCAGACAUGGUGUUGUGGUGACAUGGCCUCUUCAAAUAUAAGUUCAACAUUUGUAUUGGGGGCAGUCCGGGGUUCGAUUCCCUGUGUCUGAA